UGCCAGACUCCUACGGGAGGCAGCAGUAGGGAAUUUUGCGCAAUGGGGGAAACCCUGACGCAGCAACACCGCGUGAAUGUUAAGCCCUUCGGGGUGUAAAGUUCUGUCAAUAGGGACGAAUUUUGACUGUACCUAUAAAGGAAGCACCGGCUAACUCCGUGCCAGCAGCCGCGGUAAUACGGAGGAUGCGAGCGUUAUCCGGAUUUAUUGGGUUUAAAGGGUGCGUAGGCGGUCCGUUAAGUCAGCGGUAAAAUGGCGGGGCUCAACCCCGGCGAGCCGUUGAAACUGGCAGACUUGAGUUGGCGAGAAGUACGCGGAAUGCGCGGUGUAGCGGUGAAAUGCAUAGAUAUCGCGCAGAACUCCGAUUGCGAAGGCAGCGUACCGGCGCCAGACUGACGCUGAGGCACGAAAGCGUGGGGAUCGAACAGGAUUAGAUACCCGCGUA
RNAcentral lists this ribosomal RNA (445 nucleotides) under uncultured bacterium. RNAcentral describes it as "bacterial SSU rRNA". It matches the Rfam family "Bacterial small subunit ribosomal RNA", at positions 329 to 792 of the family's 1533-position model. The record is from RNAcentral.